This 1169-nucleotide long non-coding RNA is filed under the name Salmo salar (Atlantic salmon). Its description in RNAcentral is "lncRNA (ENSSSAG00000116005.1)". The record is from RNAcentral. Lineage: Eukaryota; Metazoa; Chordata; Actinopteri; Salmoniformes; Salmonidae.
CUUCUGUUGGUCAGCAGUAAUUGUGCCCACUGCCUCUGUACCAGUAGUCAUUCUCACCCUAUUUACGCUUAGCACUGCCCACUCCUCACCUACGGGUUGCCUUGGCUAGAAACAUCUUGAAGGUGUUAUUAUUCUUUGAAUAGACUACCUCCUGUCUUGGGCUUGACCUCUGAAGCUGACCUGAGUUUCCUCUGUACUGAAGAUGACUUUAAAGAGACGACUGCUGUCCAUUUUGUUGUGUUGUGUUUACUGCGUCGCUUCGCUCUUCUGCUUGAACCCCAACCGCAACAACUGUGGCUCCAUCAGCGCUCGGAAUCUCAUGACAGUUGUCCAGCAGCUGUACCAACGAGUCAUGAGGCUAAUGCGCACCACUCUCUGAUCCUAUGGAGCCGGAGUUGAGUCCCUCAACACUAAUCACCAGGACUGAGACACUCUCCUGCCUUACCCUGUCCAUACAAUGGAGAUGACCUGCAGAGCACCUGCCAUCGACAGAGCAAGAGGACGAAAAGCUCUCAUUGCAGUUCACUGUAAUAAAGCAGGAGAUAGUUUUAAAAAAUGUCAAUGUUUUAUUGAUGCAGAUAGAUUUUGUUGAGAUCCUAGUGGGCCUUAACUGCAUGAGCGUUGUGUUAGUGCCCCAAUUUCCCUGCAUUAUAAUAUAAGUGCUGGAAAAGCCGUUUGCAGGAUAAUUCAAAGAUGUCAUUCAUUUCAUGCCCUCUUGUGGAAAACUGAUCAGUUAUUUCUGCAUGAUCAAGAAAUUAAUGCUUUCAAUGAGCUUCAAUGCUAUCGCUGGACAUGGAAAAUAUUCCCUGCUGGAAUUGAUGUGAUUGAGUUUUGUUAAAUCUACUACAUGAAUGCAUAUAGUGCAGUAUAGGUGCUGUCUUCAUAAAAUAAUACGAAAAAAUGUUCCUUGUGCAAAUUAUGGGAAGAUAGGCUAUGUUUAAUACAUUUGUACCACUUGAUUAGCUAAAUGUUAUAACAGUUGAGUCUUUUGUAAUUAAUGCUGUAUCAAAACUGAUAUAAUAAACUUUACAUUUGUUUUUCAAUUGCCAGUUUAUUUUUUAUAAGGCUAUAUGUUGAAAAUAUGUAUUUUCCAGACGUUGACAUCACACGCACUUCAGGUACUGAAUGAAACGUUAGAAGACGUCUUUUCCUGACGUCGAAAAUAUGUC